This 271-nucleotide ribosomal RNA is filed under the name uncultured bacterium. Its description in RNAcentral is "partial 16S ribosomal RNA". It matches the Rfam family "Bacterial small subunit ribosomal RNA", at positions 524 to 794 of the family's 1533-position model. The record is from RNAcentral.
UACGGAGGGUGCAAGCGUUGUUCGGAAUUAUUGGGCGUAAAGCGCGUGUAGGCGGUUCGUUAAGUCUGAUGUGAAAGCCCUGGGCUUAACCUGGGAAGUGCAUUGGAAACUGGCGAACUUGAGUAUGGGAGAGGAAAGUGGAAUUCCGAGUGUAGGGGUGAAAUCCGUAGAUAUUCGGAGGAACACCGGUGGCGAAGGCGGCUUCCUGGCAUGUAACUGACACUCAUGUUCGAAAGCGUGGGUAGCAAACAGGAUUAGAAACCCCGGUAGU